AGCAGCCGUGUCAAAUUCAGUGCCACUGGCCAAAAUGGCUGCCACAGUGACGGUGUAGUUCAUGGGCCCCACGGUGCUCCAUCAUGGCCACUGGGGAUAAAUAUGUACUACACACAAAC
Pseudoliparis swirei is the source of this 119-nucleotide small nucleolar RNA. RefSeq annotates it as small nucleolar RNA SNORA5. Lineage: Eukaryota; Metazoa; Chordata; Actinopteri; Perciformes; Liparidae. The record is from RefSeq and is a predicted model, not a curated record. The transcript has a single exon.